CCAGGAUUGAUAGAUUCUAUCUUGAUGUACAUCCUACUCCUACAGUGGACUAACUGUCAUCAAUAUCCAUUAUAAGGACUCAUUGAGACCCAUAUUUAUAUGUCAAUCAAACUCUAGUAGCCUCACUACGAGCAGCAGUGCCAUCUCAGAUCAAAGGACCAUUCACACAACUACAACAUUGAGAUGAGCACUAAUGAUUGAGUAGAAAU
Molecule: long non-coding RNA, 209 nt
Filed under: Elaeis guineensis (African oil palm)
Lineage: Eukaryota; Viridiplantae; Streptophyta; Magnoliopsida; Arecales; Arecaceae
Description: long non-coding RNA (EGUI_LNC043450)
Source: RNAcentral